GAUGAACGCUAGCGGCAGGCCUAAUACAUGCAAGUCGGACGGGAUCCAUCGGAGAGCUUGCUCGAAGAUGGUGAGAGUGGCGCACGGGUGCGUAACGCGUGAGCAACCUACCUCUAUCAGGGGGAUAGCCUCUCGAAAGAGGGAUUAACACCGCAUAACAUAUCUGACCGGCAUCGGUUGGAUAUUAAAUAUUUAUAGGAUAGAGAUGGGCUCGCGUGACAUUAGCUAGUUGGUAGGGUAACGGCUUACCAAGGCGACGAUGUCUAGGGGCUCUGAGAGGAGAAUCCCCCACACUGGUACUGAGACACGGACCAGACUCCUACGGGAGGCAGCAGUAAGGAAUAUUGGUCAAUGGGCGGAAGCCUGAACCAGCCAUGCCGCGUGCAGGAUGACUGCCCUAUGGGUUGUAAACUGCUUUUGUCCAGGAAUAAACCUAGAUACGUGUAUCUGGCUGAAUGUACUGGAAGAAUAAGGAUCGGCUAACUCCGUGCCAGCCGCCGCGGUAA
RNAcentral lists this ribosomal RNA (506 nucleotides) under uncultured bacterium. RNAcentral describes it as "partial 16S ribosomal RNA". It matches the Rfam family "Bacterial small subunit ribosomal RNA", at positions 28 to 523 of the family's 1533-position model. The record is from RNAcentral.